CACGUGAUGACCGUCCAUCUAACGUCUGCUGUCACUUUCAUGCCAUACCAGGGACUACUGCGGCUAGUCAACACACUUGGUCAUUGACAGGUGUCGCAGAAAGACGGAUCUGCCGCAUCUGAAGGUGUACUUACAACUGACAAGGCUGCCACUGCUGGACGAGUUAUCUGCCACUGAAAGAGUUAUCUGCCACUAAACAAGUCAUCUGCCGCCACUGAACAAGUCAUCUGUCGCCACUGAACGAGUUAUCUGCCGCCACUGAAAGAGUUAUCUGUGCCUGAAGGACUCACCAUCCUGUACCCACAAUGGUUCUCACAAUGAGGGGUCUUUUUGCUCUGCUCAUCUUUAUCCUGGUGAUUGGCAGGCCAGCGACCGGUCAAGGCGAGGACUGUAAGAUUGAAGCACAGCCCAUGAUGCCACUCUUCAAGGUCAAGGAAAUCUUUGGGACCGGGCACCAGCAGGAGCCCACGGAUUCCAGGAUCGUCUCACACGAACCCAUCAUCCCUCCCCCUUUCAAAAAACGUUAAACGUUUACCCCAAACCCAUCAUCCCUCCCCCCUUCAAAAAACGUUAAACGUUUACCCCAAACCCUUCAAAUCAUGCAUCAUCGAUUUUUUAAAAAAUAUCCUAUAUAUACUAUCAACAUUUAUCAUCAACAUACAAGGAACAUUUAACAUUUGAUAUACGUAUAACAAUAUCAUCUAUAUACUUUGAACAUUUAUCAACCCCAUACUUUCAACAUUUAUUGUCUACAUACUUUUAACAUAUACCAACAACAUACACUCAACAAUAUCCUCCAUUGACUUUCAACAUAUAUCAACAACAUACACUCAACAAUAUCCUUCAUUUACUUUCAAAGUUUACCAUAUGGGAACUUUUAACAUUUAUCAACAUCAGACCUUCAGCGUAUUGUCUUUAGCUGUUUACAUUUCGUCCGCUUGAUGUUUGUGUAAGAAAUGCAAGUAUCGUAAUUUAACAUGUAGAACACUAACGUCAUAUAACUUGUAUUGGGAUAUUAAAAGACAAAACGACAACA
This is a long non-coding RNA of Physella acuta, 1036 nucleotides long. RefSeq lists it as uncharacterized. The record is from RefSeq and is a predicted model, not a curated record. NCBI's taxonomy places the organism in Eukaryota, Metazoa, Mollusca, Gastropoda, Physidae.